GUGGGGAAUAUUGGACAAUGGGCGCAAGCCUGAUCCAGCAAUGCCGCGUGGGUGAAGAAGGUCUUCGGAUCGUAAAGCCCUUUCGACAGGGACGAUGAUGACGGUACCUGUAGAAGAAGCCCCGGCUAACUUCGUGCCAGCAGCCGCGGUAAUACGAAGGGGGCUAGCGUUACUCGGAAUUACUGGGCGUAAAGGGCGCGUAGGCGGCUCUGUUAGUCAGGCGUGAAAUUCCUGGGCUUAACCUGGGGACUGCGCUUGAGACUGCAGGGCUUGAGGCCGAGAGAGGGUGGUGGAAUUCCCAGUGUAGAGGUGAAAUUCGUAGAUAUUGGGAAGAACACCGGUGGCGAAGGCGACCACCUGGCUCGGUUCUGACGCUGAGGCGCGACAGCGUGGGGAGCAAACAGGAUUAGAAACCCUAGUAGUCC
RNAcentral lists this ribosomal RNA (425 nucleotides) under uncultured bacterium. RNAcentral describes it as "partial 16S ribosomal RNA". It matches the Rfam family "Bacterial small subunit ribosomal RNA", at positions 354 to 796 of the family's 1533-position model. The record is from RNAcentral.